Molecule: long non-coding RNA, 981 nt
Filed under: Nicotiana benthamiana
Lineage: Eukaryota; Viridiplantae; Streptophyta; Magnoliopsida; Solanales; Solanaceae
Description: long non-coding RNA (NBEN_LNC031768)
Source: RNAcentral
GCCAAUUUUUAAAAAAGCUCAAAUUAAUUUAAAACCCCAACCCAAUUUAAAUAUCAAUACCCGUUGACCCAUUACUUCUUUCCCAUUUUUAUACCCUAAUCCUUCACAUUAAAAAGGUACCUAAAAAAAAUUAUCAUUAGAUUUUUUACACAAAAAGGGAGGAGCGCCGUUUGGAGCUUCUUCUUCAUCAGCUCAUCUUUUCUUCAACGAAAAAACAAGAGAACCCCUUCCUUCCAAAAGAGAACUGAAGGCGCUGUUACAGCUCUUCUUCUUCACCAAAGAAGACCAAAAUCAUAAGACUCCCUAUUUUGGAAACCCAAUCUCAGCUAAAAAAGGGACUGCUUCAAAAUGUCUUCUCUCUUUCUCGCUGAAGCAGAUCGGCGCAUCCUCUCAUUCACUCCUUCAUAUGUUUGUUCUAACUUCACUCAAAAAUUAGAUCUAAAAAUACAAGAGUUUCAAAUAUUUUUUAAAAAAAAAACCAAAAACACGAAAAACAAGAAAAGAAGAAUCUGUUUGUGGGAUUUGGUUUUGGAGCAAGAUCUGCUUGCUUGGUUGGAGAACCCGCUGUUGUUGUUUGGCUGAACUUUUGUCGAGCUCCGUCCUUCACCGAUUCGCCUCUAGUUGGCCAUUAUGAUUCUAUUUGCUAAUAUUAGGAACAUAUCAUAAGCCUUUAAUUUGCUUAUCUAAUCAGAAAAAUAUAUUUCUCCCAGCAAAACGAUUUGAAUAUCAAUGAAAUGUAUUCUGUUGCUAUUUUUUGUUGUUGCUGCUAUUCUUAUUAAUGUAUUGCCAAAUUUAAUUAGUCAAUGUUCAAUAUUUUUUUUUUGUUAUUUAAUAACCAUAAAAUUUCAUCUAUGUUGGCAAGGAUUCCAUCUCAGAAUUGUAUGAUAUUAAUUACAAAAUAAUUGUGUAUGCUUUUGUUCUCUUUAAAUCUGGUGUGGUCACUCUAAUAUGCAUACAAAUCAUCUUAACAUAGUAUGAACA